UCGGUUUUAUAUUUCGUGCGGUGAAAUCUCAUAUGAUACUCGACAGGCUAUGUUUAGAGAGUUUAACAUAUGCAUCUUAUUAUACAUUUCAUAACUUAAAUUUACUUUUAUAUAAAUUAUCUGACAUUAACUAUUUGAUUUGCAGAUGUUGUGUACAUGGGAUCCAAUAGACAACGAUAGGGUUGCUGCGAACUUUGAGAGGAAGGGGAGUGCAAGGUUGUCUGAUUGGUUUUUAAGGGUUAGAAAGUAUACGAGGAAGCCCUAAUCGUAGGACAAUGAAAAAGGCUACGGGACAUAUGCCGACUCAAGAUCAUCUAUUCCUAAAGACCCACACAAAAAAAAAGAAGCAGGAGUCGGAUUCGAUCGAAUGGGUUGAGAACAGGGCUUAUGAUUCCUAUAUGCAAUUUAUGUAAGAUGUGGACCACUAUAGCCAAACUCAGCCUGACCACCCCAGUCGUCCUCCACCGGAAUUAGAGGUAGAAUUUUGGUAUAGAGUAGUUGGGGGAGUACAAAAGGGUAGAACGUACAGUCUAGGCCCAAGAAACAACUUAAGUCACUUUCGGCCAGGAUUGCGAGGUGAAGGGUCUUCUUGACAAGCCAAGAGAGUUGAUAGUGUUCAGGUCGCAACUAUGGCGCAGAAAAUCGAAGAACUUAAUAAAAAAUUAGCUGAGACUGAGGCAAAAAGGGUUGAGGAAAGUAAAUUGAUGAAAGAGAACCUUGAAUCGCUCAAGGCACAAGUUAA
Molecule: long non-coding RNA, 742 nt
Organism: Lycium barbarum (goji berry)
Lineage: Eukaryota; Viridiplantae; Streptophyta; Magnoliopsida; Solanales; Solanaceae
Exons: 3
Source: RefSeq, a predicted model, not a curated record